This is a long non-coding RNA of Diceros bicornis minor, 1641 nucleotides long. RefSeq lists it as uncharacterized. The record is from RefSeq and is a predicted model, not a curated record. NCBI's taxonomy places the organism in Eukaryota, Metazoa, Chordata, Mammalia, Perissodactyla, Rhinocerotidae. The transcript is spliced from 2 exons.
GGUAUUAUUUUCUCCUGCUAACUUGUCUUGUUGAUUAUUUGGCCAGCCAUAAGAACAUUAAGGAAAAGCGCAGAGUGAGAUUCUCCCUCUUCCCCCGACAGUUUUGGCGUAGUCGGCAGGAUCCACACUGGCUGGCAAGUUGCCUUCUCUGGCUGGAAGACCUGCCUUCUCCCUGGACUACUGCAGAUGAUGAGAUACGGGAACGCCUGACAAAAGCCGGCAAAAAGAUUUAAGGAAAACUUUUUCUCUUUUCUCCUGAGCUAGCUAUGACUUAUAGCAAUUUGGUAAAUAAUACUUUUGUAAGUAAAAUUGAAAUAUUUAUCUUUUUCUCUCUAUCUGAUCCCUCGAAUUUGGAAACUCUUAGUGAGUAUUGUUGUUUUCAUGGCGAUAUAGUUAUUUGCAUAAGUUCAAUAAGAAUCUGUUCUCCUUGUAACAGGACACAAUUGGAAACACUGGUUAUAUUACCAAGGUUAUGACUGGAACAUCAUAUUUGCGAUAUAACCAUACAGCUUUUGAGGAAUGAAGAUUGGACUUUAUGGAAUAAAGCCACGUGGAAAUAUUGGCCUGGUACCUUGUGUUCCAAGCAGCACUUACCAGGAUAAGUAAAGAAUGUCACUUAUCUGGCAGGUACAAGGAACCUUGAAAUAUUUGGGGGGAACCUCGGAGGAGAGGAAUUCACCCAAAUCUGUAGGUAUUGCAGGUGAAGUCUGAUGACAAAAUCCUUGGCUUGGCUUUCCUGGCCUCGAGAGGCCUUUAAAGUUUAAUUUGAGAUUCCUUAUAAAAAGUUCCAGCAAAGCAGAUUUAAAAGAGCCUAUGUGAUCAAUUGCUAUUCUUGCUGUACUUAUGUAAAUAAUUGGGCCAACUCUAUUGGAACUAGACUUAUUUUGCAAACUAGUUAGUUUUAAUUUGGCCAUCUUAAUAAAAAUGAGGGUGAUUUUAGAGAGAAAAAAUUAUAUUUCAGUAAAAACUAUUUCAGUAUAAAUUUGCGGAUAUUAGAUCCUAGUUUUAUUAAUUGUCUUUUGAGGUUUUUGUUUUAUAUCUGUUGAAUGGACUGGAUCCUGAUUUCUUCUAGUCUCCCAAAAUAUCUGGCUACACAUCUCCAAACUAAAGUUUUUGAUUUUUUCCAUCAUUUUCAUUUGGAAUCACUGAGAACUGAACCUGCCCUUUGUCCUGAAGCCUUACAAACUGAAGCUGAUGGACUUGAUACAAAUUUAAGAGAUUACCCGAUGACAUCAUCAGAGACAUUUAAACUGCAAAAGAUACUUUGACGCUGACAUCUAAAACCUUAACUGGCUGUCCUCUAAACUCAGAAACUGCUUUACAACUUGCUCCAACCAUUAACCUUGUUUUUCUUUUGUUUACAUAGAAAUGCUUCUAUUAAAUACUUGAUUGCUUGCUUCCAUAAUAUAGGCGUAACCUUGAGAGCCCACCUGCAUCACCACCUUCCAAAAGGAACUUAAUUGAACUGAUCUAUCAUCAGGACUAUGAAAUGUGUUCAGUGAGAUGAAACAAUCUACCAACUCAGCUUCUGGACUAUGAAACUUCUUUAAGUUUCAAAAGGACUGUGAAACUUUUAGUUUCAAAGGCGGGACUGUGGGAGAUCAAGAUUUGGCCACCCUGAAAUAUAUCUCUUUACCUUGA